RNAcentral lists this small nucleolar RNA (130 nucleotides) under Fulmarus glacialis (Northern fulmar). The record is from RNAcentral. Lineage: Eukaryota; Metazoa; Chordata; Aves; Procellariiformes; Procellariidae.
AUGCACAUUUCAUUGACCUGCUUUUGUUACAAGUGACAAGCAGUGUUAUUUCUGAUGUGCUAAAAUAGUUGAAGGCUAAUUAGCAGCGUAGCUGUAUGUAGUUACUGCUGCCAGUCUCCUUCGUACAAAG